This 253-nucleotide ribosomal RNA is filed under the name uncultured bacterium. RNAcentral describes it as "partial 16S ribosomal RNA". It matches the Rfam family "Bacterial small subunit ribosomal RNA", at positions 524 to 776 of the family's 1533-position model. The record is from RNAcentral.
UACAGAGGUCUCAAGCGUUGUUCGGAUUCACUGGGCGUAAAGGGUGCGUAGGCGGUCGGGUAAGUCUGAUGUGAAAUCCCGCAGCUCAACUGCGGAACGGCAUUGGAUACUAUUCGGCUUGAGGAAUGGAGGGGAGACUGGAAUUCUCGGUGUAGCAGUGAAAUGCGUAGAUAUCGAGAGGAACACCGGUGGCGAAGGCGAGUCUCUGGACAUUUCCUGACGCUGAGGCACGAAAGCCAGAGGAGCAAACGGG